Long non-coding RNA from Lolium rigidum, 459 nucleotides. RefSeq lists it as uncharacterized. The record is from RefSeq and is a predicted model, not a curated record. The transcript has 2 exons. Lineage: Eukaryota; Viridiplantae; Streptophyta; Magnoliopsida; Poales; Poaceae.
GAGAGAAGAAAUUUAAUAUUUGCGAUUAUCAAUCCUCUCUGUGUUGCAACAGGUCAGAGCUUAUAGUAUGCCUACUGCAAAUGUUAAUGCAAAAUUGAUGUUUUGAACAUUUGCUCUCUAUCUCUACAGCUUCGUUUAUUGCAAUCCUUAAGUAUAUAGGAGAUAGGAUGGUUGCCAAAGCUAGACGUAGAGAAAGGAUGGGCCAGACAGCCAAAGGGUCACCUCGACAACGUGCAUGCACGGUGGUGCCCUGCCGUGGAUGUUCCCAAGCAGGCAAGUGGCACAACCAACUCAAAAGGUGUGAAUCUGAUUGUGUAGAAUUCAGUUUGAGCAGUGCCUCUUAGAGUCAGUUUACAGAGUGAAUGACAGAAACAUAUGUGAUGUGUGGAUGAUAACAGUAUGCAUGCCCAUGUUGUGUGUGCAUGUUUUGGAUUGAAUGCAUGGUGCUGGUCCUGGAUU